This 556-nucleotide long non-coding RNA is filed under the name Callithrix jacchus (white-tufted-ear marmoset). Its description in RNAcentral is "lncRNA (ENSCJAG00000073776.1)". Lineage: Eukaryota; Metazoa; Chordata; Mammalia; Primates; Cebidae. The record is from RNAcentral.
AGUCACUGACCACUCUGGCUAAAACAGGUCCAGCAACUGGCCCAUCACCUGCUACUUCUUUUUCCUCCAUAGCAUGGGUCACUGCUCAACGUGACAUUGCCUCUCUGUUUGUGCAUUUAUUUCUUGUCUCUCCUGCCAGGCAGGGAGCUGGUCUAUUUGAUCUCAGCUUUGUCCUCGGUGCCUAGACUAAUGCCUGGAGCUCAGGAGAUUCAACGUAAUUCAGCGAGGAAGAAAACCACAGUGCCCAGCAGAUCUGGCUAAAGAAACUGAAACCAUGGAUGUUCCAGAUCCAAUACUGACAAUCACAGAGGCUUCCUGAAAGAGGAGAGACCAGCUAGCUCCUGAGACAAGUGAUGUGAUGAAGAAAGGAAAGGAUGGACCCAAUCUUCGCAUGCAGAUUUGAUACAUUCCUUACUUACCCUGAGUGUUCCAGAUUGCGGUUGAAUUCCACGGGGACCUCACCUCAUUAACACAAGCCCAGGCACAGAGGAGUGUGCAGUGAAUAUUGCCAACCACAGGAGAUCUGGUCACCCUGGACUGAUUUCCCACGUGACCU